This 500-nucleotide ribosomal RNA is filed under the name uncultured bacterium. RNAcentral describes it as "partial 16S ribosomal RNA". It matches the Rfam family "Bacterial small subunit ribosomal RNA", at positions 30 to 523 of the family's 1533-position model. The record is from RNAcentral.
AUUGAACGCUGGCGGCAUGCUUUACACAUGCAAGUCGAACGGUAACAGGGAGCUUGCUCCGCUGACGAGUGGCGAACGGGUGAGUAAUGCGUCGGAACGUGCCGAGUAGUGGGGGAUAACGCAGCGAAAGUUGUGCUAAUACCGCAUACGUACUGAGGUAGAAAGUGGGGGACCUUCGGGCCUCACGCUAUUCGAGCGGCCGACGUCUGAUUAGCUAGUAGGUGAGGUAAAGGCACACCUAGGCGACGAUCAGUAGCGGGUCUGAGAGGAUGGUCCGCCACACUGGGACUGAGACACGGCCCAGACUCCUACGGGAGGAAGCAGUGGGGAAUUUUGGACAAUGGGCGAAAGCCUGAUCCAGCCAUGCCGCGUGUCUGAAGAAGGCCUUCGGGUUGUAAAGGACUUUUGUCGGGGAGGAAAUCCCCAGCGUUAAUACCGCUGGGGGAUGACAGUACCUGAAGAAUAAGCACCGGCUAACUACGUGCCAGCAGCCGCAGUAA